This 1317-nucleotide long non-coding RNA is filed under the name Phaseolus vulgaris (common bean). RNAcentral's name for it is "long non-coding RNA (PVUL_LNC000647)". The record is from RNAcentral. Lineage: Eukaryota; Viridiplantae; Streptophyta; Magnoliopsida; Fabales; Fabaceae.
UCACGAGCAGGGGAAGAGCUGGGUCGAGGGAUUUGUGGUAAGGGAGCCCGACCAUCUGAGGCUGAAUGCUCAGUAAGCGCAGGGGCAACCUUUCGUCUUCUCUUAAAGACAGACCCUGAGCACGUAUCCUCGUCAUCUAAAGGGGCCACGUCAACCACUACCUACAACUUCAAGUCCUUGGUAGGAGAAGCUUGGGCAAUAACCUUCAUCUUCUUGGCCCUAGCUGCCAAGUCCUUUUUGCUGAGUCUGAGCAUACUGUCUACAUGAAAAACAAGAGAGAAUUUAGUAACACACACAUGCAAGAUAUCACUAGCAAGAGUAAGGGAAAGAAGGAUACCAAUAUAGGCUUUGAGUCCCACAUGGGAGAACUCAUGCUUUAUUAAGGUGGCGGUGACAAAAACCACUUUGAGAUUGGAGAGGAAGAGGCACGCCUCUUGUUCUAGCUGGGGCGUGCCUUCUAAGCACCUACGCUUUUGGAAUCUGGGUUCCUCGGUCCAGUAUAAACGAAACCCAUCCAGAAGGGUUGGGUCGUUGUUGUUGAAGCGGAUUUUGAAGAAUUUGCCUUUGAAGCCUUUGUAAGAUUGCUAGAAGAGGGUCAGCAAAACUCUCCCAACAACCCCAUUCAAGCUCACCUAUAAUUGGCGAAUCAGCUGUUUGGCUUCGAAAAAAUAUAGGAAGACUUCCACUGAUGGCAGAUGGCCAAAGUGGUUGCAUAGAAUAGAGAAACCAUGAACAAGCACCCAGCUAUUUGGAUGUAGCUGGGCAGGGGCAGUAUUAAUUUCGGUGAGGAGCGCUCCCUCAAAGUGGUAUAAGGGUAAGCGGAGGAGAACCUUCUUAAAAACGGUAGAGUAGAUGAAACAGAAAGGACCUUCUGGGUCCGACAACUCAUCACAACAAACUGGCUCAUCUACCCAACACGACACUACUUUGACAUAUUUAUCAUCCUCUCUGCAAAAAAGGCAUUUUUUUCUUAGGGUGCUCACUCUUCCUAUACAACACUAUCUUCUCGCGGGUGUUGAACUCGUAAGUCUCUUAUAACAAAUUGUUAGGGGCCCAAGGAUAUAGGGUUUUGUAAUCCAUCAUACAAAGAAUCUAAAAACAAAUAAAAUCAAACAAGCGGACACAGGCAAAUGCUUAGAUAAAGGAAGCGCUUGUGAUUCGAGAAAAGGAACGACGAAGCAAAAACAAAGACAACAAUAAAAAACACACGAAAAUUAAAUAGUCCCGGCGCAGUUGAUAUGAGCAGACUAAAAGCAUUAAAAUGAUGUUAUCAAGCAUUCAUGAGUUAAAGAACGUACCUUGUUUCGAUUGAUGAGC